This 506-nucleotide ribosomal RNA is filed under the name uncultured Desulfobulbaceae bacterium. RNAcentral describes it as "bacterial SSU rRNA". It matches the Rfam family "Bacterial small subunit ribosomal RNA", at positions 400 to 896 of the family's 1533-position model. Lineage: Bacteria; Pseudomonadati; Thermodesulfobacteriota; Desulfobulbia; Desulfobulbales; Desulfobulbaceae. The record is from RNAcentral.
CGUGGGUGAGGAAGGCUUUCGGGUCGUAAAGCCCUGUCAGGUGGGAAGAAAUGGUUAUAUGUUAAUAUCUUAUAGCUUUGACGGUACCACCAAAGGAAGCACCGGCUAACUCCGUGCCAGCAGCCGCGGUAAUACGGAGGGUGCAAACGUUGUUCGGAAUCACUGGGCGUAAAGGGCGCGCAGGCGGUUUGAUUAGCCAGAUGUGAAAGCCCACGGCUUAACCGUGGAAGUGCAUUUGAAACUGUCAGACUUGAGUACCAGAGGGGGUAGUGGAAUUCCCGGUGUAGAGGUGAAAUUCGUAGAUAUCGGGAGGAAUACCGGUGGCGAAGGCGACUACCUGGCUGGAUACUGACGCUGAGGCGCGAAAGCGUGGGGAGCAAACAGGAUUAGAUACCCUGGUAGUCCACGCCGUAAACGAUGUCAACUAGAUGUAGGGGGUGUUGAUCCCCUCUGUGUCGCAGCUAACGCAUUAAGUUGACCGCCUGGGGAGUACGGUCGCAAGAUUA